GAAAAAAGCACAAGAGAAGCUUGGAGCAUUGUUGGGGCGAAACCCUGGCUUGUCCAAAGAUUUAACAACUGUGUUGACUUUAGCUUGACGCCAGAGGAAUUUGAGGCAGGGUGGUGUGAGAUGAUGAUGAAGUAUGAGGCUAUGACUGACUCCCACUUCGAGAAUCUAUACAAAUACAGAGAAACAUGGGUACCCUAUUACUUCAAGCACCGAUUCUUCCCUUUCUUGCAGUCAACUAAACGCAGCAAUGGGUUCAACACUGUCCUUAAGCGAUAUGUGAACCCACACAAGUCCAUUUUGAACUUUGUGAAGCAAUAUCAGAAAAUCCAAACACACAUACUAGUCCGAGAGGGUUCAAAAGAUUACAGGACAGGACAUUUGUAG
RNAcentral lists this ribosomal RNA (384 nucleotides) under Triticum aestivum (bread wheat). RNAcentral describes it as "partial small subunit ribosomal RNA". Lineage: Eukaryota; Viridiplantae; Streptophyta; Magnoliopsida; Poales; Poaceae. The record is from RNAcentral.